RNAcentral lists this ribosomal RNA (497 nucleotides) under uncultured bacterium. Its description in RNAcentral is "partial 16S ribosomal RNA". It matches the Rfam family "Bacterial small subunit ribosomal RNA", at positions 28 to 507 of the family's 1533-position model. The record is from RNAcentral.
GAUGAACGCUGGCGGCGUGCCUAAUACAUGCAAGUCGAGCGAACAGACGAGGAGCUUGCUCCUCUGACGUUAGCGGCGGACGGGUGAGUAACACGUGGAUAACCUCCCUAUAAGACUGGGAUAACUUCGGGACACCGGUGCUAAUACCGGAUAAUAUAUUGAACCGCAUGGUUCAAUAGUGAAAUACGGUUUUGCUGUCACUUAUAGAUUGAUCCGCGCCGCAUUAGCUAGUUGGUAAGGUAACGGCUUACCAAGGCGACGAUUCGUAGCCGGCCUGAGAGGGUGAUCGGCCACACUGGAACUGAGACACGGUCCAGACUCCUACGGGAGGCAGCAGUAGGGAAUCUUCCGCAAUGGGCGAAAGCUUGACGGAGCAACGCCGCGUGAGUGAUGAAGGUCUUCGGAUCGUAAAACUCUGUUAUUAGGAAAGAACAAAUUUGUAAGUAACUAUGCACGUCUUGACGGUACCUAAUCAGAAAGCCACGGCUAACUACGUG